This 76-nucleotide transfer RNA is filed under the name Opitutaceae bacterium TAV3. Its description in RNAcentral is "tRNA-Arg". It matches the Rfam family "tRNA". From Rfam's summary of the family: Transfer RNA (tRNA) molecules are approximately 80 nucleotides in length. Their secondary structure includes four short double-helical elements and three loops (D, anti-codon, and T loops). Further hydrogen bonds mediate the characteristic L-shaped molecular structure. tRNAs have two regions of fundamental functional importance: the anti-codon, which is responsible for specific mRNA codon recognition, and the 3' end, to which the tRNAs corresponding amino acid is attached (by aminoacyl-tRNA synthetases). tRNAs cope with the degeneracy of the genetic code in two manners: having more than one tRNA (with a specific anti-codon) for a particular amino acid; and 'wobble' base-pairing, i.e. permitting non-standard base-pairing at the 3rd anti-codon position. Lineage: Bacteria; Pseudomonadati; Verrucomicrobiota; Opitutia; Opitutales; Opitutaceae. The record is from RNAcentral.
GCAGGCGUAGCACAAUGGAUAGUGUAGCGGUCUCCGAACGCCGUCGAUCCGGGUUCGACUCCCGGCGCUUGCACCA